GACGGAGGGCGCGAGCGUUGUUCGGAAUUACUGGGCGUAAAGCGCACGUAGGCGGGUGGGGAAGCCCACGGUGAAAGCCCGGAGCUCAACUCUGGGACGCCCGUGGGGACUCCUUGCCUAGGGACCGGUAGAGGCCGGUGGAAUUCCCGGUGUAGCGGUGGAAUGCGUAGAGAUCGGGAAGAACACCUGUGGCGAAGGCGACCGGCUGGGCCGGAUCCGACGCUCAUGUGCGAAAGCGUGGGGAGCAAACAGGAUUAGAAACCCCCGUAGUCC
RNAcentral lists this ribosomal RNA (273 nucleotides) under uncultured bacterium. RNAcentral's name for it is "partial 16S ribosomal RNA". It matches the Rfam family "Bacterial small subunit ribosomal RNA", at positions 524 to 796 of the family's 1533-position model. The record is from RNAcentral.